Molecule: long non-coding RNA, 235 nt
Filed under: Elaeis guineensis (African oil palm)
Lineage: Eukaryota; Viridiplantae; Streptophyta; Magnoliopsida; Arecales; Arecaceae
Description: long non-coding RNA (EGUI_LNC059498)
Source: RNAcentral
GACUCGAAGAACACCUAGGGCCAAAACGGACGUCGAGGAAGGUCAGAGCUCUCAAAAAGAAGACGGGCACCAACAGGACUUUCAGGCAGAAUGAAACUCCCAGAGGAAGAAGGGCGGGUUUAAAUAGACCCUGGGAUCCGGCAUUAUAGUGAUUGCGGAUCUCCCUAGGCCGACCCAUGUUCGCCAUGUGUCCCACUCACCACAGCAGGCGGCUAAAAGCGGCUGACAGCUGGCA